Molecule: non-coding RNA, 105 nt
Organism: Xyrichtys novacula (pearly razorfish)
Lineage: Eukaryota; Metazoa; Chordata; Actinopteri; Labriformes; Labridae
Source: the annotation of a GenBank genome assembly
GCAGAGGUUUAGCCCAGUGGUUACUUCAAGCCCUCACUAUGGUUUAUCUAAUCCUAACGGUCUCAGGGCCAGGGGUUCGGACCACGGGUGCCGUCCUCUGCUUUU